CUACGGGUCGCACCAGUGAGGAAUUUUGCGCAAUGGGGGAAACCCUGACGCAGCAACGCCGCGUGAGCGAAGAAGGCCUUCGGGUCGUAAAGCUCUGUCAAGUGGGAAAAAAAUUCUUUGAUGAACAGUCAAAGGACUUGAUGGUACCACUGGAGGAAGCACCGGCUAACUCCGUGCCAGCAGCCGCGGUAAUACGGAGGGUGCAAGCGUUGUUCGGAAUUACUGGGCGUAAAGAGCAUGUAGGCGGUUUGACAAGUCAGAUGUGAAAGCCCCGGGCUCAACCCGGGAAGUGCAUUUGAACUGUUUCACUAGAGUAUGGGAGAGGAGAUUGGAAUUCCUGGUGUAGAGGUGAAAUUCGUAGAUAUCAGGAGGAACACCCGUGGCGAAGGCGAUUCUCUGGACCAAUACUGACGCUGAGACGCGAAAGCGUGGGGAGCAAACAGGAUUAGAUACCCGAGUAGUC
RNAcentral lists this ribosomal RNA (463 nucleotides) under uncultured bacterium. Its description in RNAcentral is "partial 16S ribosomal RNA". It matches the Rfam family "Bacterial small subunit ribosomal RNA", at positions 339 to 795 of the family's 1533-position model. The record is from RNAcentral.